This 506-nucleotide ribosomal RNA is filed under the name uncultured bacterium. Its description in RNAcentral is "partial 16S ribosomal RNA". It matches the Rfam family "Bacterial small subunit ribosomal RNA", at positions 29 to 523 of the family's 1533-position model. The record is from RNAcentral.
AGUGAACGCUAGCGGUAGGCCUAACACACGCAAGUCGAACGGCAGCACAGGAGAGCUUGCUCUCUGGGUGGCGAGUGGCGGACGGGUGAGGAAUACAUCGGAAUCUACUCUGUCGUGGGGGAUAACGUAGGGAAACUUACGCUAAUACCGCAUACGACCUACGGGUGAAAGCAGGGGAUCUUCGGACCUUGCGCGAUUGAAUGAGCCGAUGUCGGAUUAGCUAGUUGGCGGGGUAAAGGCCCACCAAGGCGACGAUCCGUAGCUGGUCUGAGAGGAUGAUCAGCCACACUGGAACUGAGACACGGUCCAGACUCCUACGGGAGGCAGCAGUGGGGAAUAUUGGACAAUGGGCGCAAGCCUGAUCCAGCCAUACCGCGUGGGUGAAGAAGGCCUUCGGGUUGUAAGGCCCUUUUGUUGGGAAAGAAAUCCAGCUGGUUAAUACCCGGUUGGGAUGACGGUACCCAAAGAAUAAGCACCGGCUAACUUCGUGCCAGCCGCCGCCGUAA